Molecule: unclassified non-coding RNA, 438 nt
Filed under: Hevea brasiliensis (rubber tree)
Lineage: Eukaryota; Viridiplantae; Streptophyta; Magnoliopsida; Malpighiales; Euphorbiaceae
Source: RNAcentral
UACUUCUCAAGAAAUUUCAGUGCCUUCUCAAGAAAGGAAGGGCCUCCAUCUAUAUCUUCUAAGGCAAGCAGAAUUGGUCUCCCAACAACAAAAGAUUUAACAGGGUGUUUAUCCUUCCAUUGGUGGAAAGACCCUUCAAAGGAAUCACUAGCAUCAUUCCGGAAAAUGCCAUCCUGUCCCAUCACCAAAGCAGCACUAGGUGCUUGUGCAAGAGCAUGCUCCAGCGCAGUCUUCCACUCAUACAAAUCCUCUGAUGUCUCUGCCUUAAGUGUAAAAGCUCGUCCAUCGCGUCCGUCUGGAAACAGUACAGUCAAUAGCUUUUUAUCUUCUCUGACAACAACACUCCCUGAAUUAUUCAAGUCAAUUCCUCCCAAAGUUAGAUUCACUUCACCUCCUUGCUGUGGAAGUGUACUAGGAUCAUUCUUGAAAAAGACCAGA